GGUUCGGCGUGCAAGUGUGGCGACACAUUCAGCGGACGAAUACUAAUCGAUCGAUGACUUAUUCAAA
RNAcentral lists this ribosomal RNA (67 nucleotides) under Salinicoccus cyprini. RNAcentral's name for it is "Salinicoccus sp. CT19 partial 23S ribosomal RNA". The record is from RNAcentral. Lineage: Bacteria; Bacillati; Bacillota; Bacilli; Caryophanales; Staphylococcaceae.